RNAcentral lists this ribosomal RNA (508 nucleotides) under uncultured bacterium. RNAcentral describes it as "partial 16S ribosomal RNA". It matches the Rfam family "Bacterial small subunit ribosomal RNA", at positions 28 to 507 of the family's 1533-position model. The record is from RNAcentral.
GAUGAACGCUGGCGGCGUGCCUAAUACAUGCAAGUCGAACGCUUCUUUCCUCCCGUGUCUUUGCACUUAUUUGCAACGAGGAGUGGCGUAAGGCUGAGUUACCCUUCCUUUACCUCUCCAUUAGCGGCGGAUAACCCUUGGUAAUAGGUGCUAAUAUUGUAUAACAGUUUAUGCCGAAUUGAAUAAGAGUGUUUGGGGCUCUUGUGUGUCGAUGCUCGCUGCAUUCGCGGUGCAUUAGCUAGUUGGUAAGGUAACGGCUCACCAAGGACACGAUGCAUAGCCGACCUGAGAGGGUGAUCGGCCACACUGGAACUGAGACACGGCCCAGACUCCUACGGGAGGCAGCAGUAGGGAAUCUUCGGCAAUGGGCGAAAGUCUGACGGAGCAACGCCGCGUGAGUGAAGAAGGUUUUCGGAUCGUAAAACUCUGUUAUUAGGGAAGAACAAAUGUGUAAGUAACUGAGCAUACCCUGACGGUAUCUAAUCAGAAAGCCACGGCUAACUACGUG